GAUGAACGCUGGCGGCGUGCCUAAUACAUGCAAGUCGAACGGACAGACCCUGCGCUUGCUGCUUGCUCGAGUGGCGAACGCGUGAGUAUCACGCGUGUAUCCCGUCCUUGUCUUUCGGAGAACUCCAGGAAACUGGGGCUAAUACCCGGUAGGAGCUCCUGAUGCGUGGUGGGGGUUGGAAAGUGUCGGCUGUUGUGGAUCGACUCGCGGCUUAUGAGCUUGUUGGUGGGGUAGUGGCUUUCCAAGGCUUUGAAGGGUAGGCGGCCUGAGAGCGUGACCAGCGACAUUGGGACUGAGAGACGCAGCAGACGCCUACGGGACGCAGCAGUGGAGAGUAUGGCGCAAUGGGCGGAAGCCUGAUACGGCGGCGCUGCGUGCGGAAUGACCGCUUUCGAGGUAUAAACCGCUUUGGACUGUAACGAAGCCGGCUUGACGGUAAUGGGUAAGAAAGCACCGGCUAACUACGUG
Molecule: ribosomal RNA, 468 nt
Filed under: uncultured bacterium
Lineage: Bacteria
Description: partial 16S ribosomal RNA
Rfam family: Bacterial small subunit ribosomal RNA
Source: RNAcentral